RNAcentral lists this ribosomal RNA (506 nucleotides) under uncultured bacterium. RNAcentral's name for it is "bacterial SSU rRNA". It matches the Rfam family "Bacterial small subunit ribosomal RNA", at positions 8 to 526 of the family's 1533-position model. The record is from RNAcentral.
AGAGUUUGAUCCUGGCUCAGAAUGAACGCUGGCGGCGUGCUUUACACAUGCAAGUCGAGCGAGGCGGCCCGCAAGGGUCAGUCGAGCGGCGAACGGGUGAGUAACGCGUGGAUUAUCUACCCUGAGGUGGGGGAUAACCCGGGGAAACUCGGGCUAAUACCGCAUGAUACCGUGAGGUCAAAGGGGGCUCGCAAGGGCUCUCGCCAUAGGAGGAGUCCGCGUCCGAUUAGCUAGUUGGUAGGGUAAUGGCCUACCAAGGCGAUGAUCGGUAGCCGGACUGAGAGGUUGGCCGGCCACACUGGAACUGAGACACGGUCCAGACUCCUACGGGAGGCAGCAGUGGGGAAUCUUGCACAAUGGGCGAAAGCCUGAUGCAGCAACGCCGCGUGGGGGAUGAAGCUUCUCGGAGUGUAAACCCCUUUCGACCCGGACGAAUGCCCGCAAGGGUUUGACGGUACGGGUAUAAGAAGCCCCGGCUAACUACGUGCCAGCCGCCGCGGUAAUAC